CCUACGGGUGGCAGCAGUGAGGAAUAUUGGUCAAUGGACGCGAGUCUGAACCAGCCAUGUAGCGUGAAGGAUGACUGCCCUAUGGGUUGUAAACUUCUUUUAUAAAGGGAUAAAACGAGGCACGUGUGCCUGGUUGAAUGUACUUUAUGAAUAAGGAUCGGCUAACUCCGUGCCAGCAGCCGCGGUAAUACGGAGGAUCCGAGCGUUAUCCGGAUUUAUUGGGUUUAAAGGGUGCGUAGACGGGUUGUUAAGUCAGUGGUGAAAUGUUGCGGCUCAACCGUAAAAUUGCAAUUGAUACUGGCAGUCUUGAGUACAGUUGAGGUAGGCGGAAUGCGUGGUGUAGCGGUGAAAUGCUUAGAGAUCACGAAGAACCCCGAUUGCGAAGGCAGCUUACCAAACUGUGACUGACAUUGAUGCUCGAAAGUGUGGGUAUCAAACAGGAUUAGAUACCCUGGUAGUC
RNAcentral lists this ribosomal RNA (460 nucleotides) under uncultured bacterium. RNAcentral's name for it is "partial 16S ribosomal RNA". It matches the Rfam family "Bacterial small subunit ribosomal RNA", at positions 338 to 795 of the family's 1533-position model. The record is from RNAcentral.